RNAcentral lists this transfer RNA (86 nucleotides) under Patescibacteria group bacterium. RNAcentral's name for it is "tRNA-Ser". It matches the Rfam family "tRNA". Rfam says of the family: Transfer RNA (tRNA) molecules are approximately 80 nucleotides in length. The record is from RNAcentral.
GGAGGUGUCGCAUAGCGGCCAAUUGCACACGCUUGGAAAGCGUGAGCCUCACGGCUACGCAGGUUCGAAUCCUGUCCCCUCCGCCA